RNAcentral lists this ribosomal RNA (365 nucleotides) under uncultured delta proteobacterium. RNAcentral's name for it is "bacterial SSU rRNA". It matches the Rfam family "Bacterial small subunit ribosomal RNA", at positions 521 to 877 of the family's 1533-position model. Lineage: Bacteria; Deltaproteobacteria. The record is from RNAcentral.
UAAUACGGAGGGUGCAAGCGCUCUGUUCGGGAAUUAUUGGGCGUAAAGCGCGUGUAGGCGGUCUUUUAAGUGAUGAUGUGCAAGCCCCGGGCUCAACCUGGGAAGUGCAUUGGAAACUGGGAGGCUUGAGUACGGGAGAGGAGAGUGGAAUUCCUAGUGUAGGAGUGUAAAUCCGUAGAUAUUAGGAGGAACACCGGUGGCGAAGGCGGCUCUCUGGACCGAUACUGACGCUGAGACGCGAAAGCGUGGGUAGCGAAACAGGAUUAGAUACCCUGGUAGUCCACGCCGUAAACGAUGAGUACUAGGUGUUGCGGGUAUUGACCCCUGCAGUGCCGUAGCUAAAGCAUUAAGUACUCCGCGCUGGG